CGUUCUUUCACUUUGUGAAAGUUUCUAUGAGGUGCGAAUGCGGCUGUUUCCUGUAGGGUGUUUUAAACUGAAUGAAUUUACAAUCUUGAUCUCCUCGAACCUCCAACAAACACAGAGAUGGCAGAGAUAGUCAUGUCUCCAGUAAUCCAGCCUUACCUCCAACCGGGGAUGACCAUAGUCCAGCCAGAUGCCAUGUCUCCAACAAUCCAGCCUGAGUAUCAGCAGGUGAUGACUGUAGUCCAGCCAGAUGCCAUGUCUCCAACAAUAAUCCAGCCUCAGUAUCAGCAAGGGAUGACCAUAGUCCAGCCAGAAGCCAUGUCUCCAACAAUAAUGCAGCAGCCUCAGCCUCAGGAGGUGAUGACCGUGGUCCCUCCUGAAGCCAUGUCUCCAACAAUAAUCCAGCAGCCUCAGCAGGUGAUGACCAUGGUCCCUCCAGAAGCCAUGUCUCCAACAAUAAUCCAGCAGCCUCAGCAGGUGAUGACCGUGGUCCCUCCAGACGCCAUGUCUCCAACAAUAAUCCAGCAGCCUCAGCAGGUGAUGACCGUGGUCCCUCCAGACGCCAUGUCUCCAACAAUUAUCCAGCCUCAGCCUCAGCAGGUGAUGACUGUGGUCCCUCCAGAUGCCAUGUCUCCAACAAUAGUCCAGCCUCAGCCUCAGCAGGUGAUGACCGUGGUCCCUCCAGACGCCAUGUCUCCAACAAUAAUCCAGCCUGAGCCUCAGCACAUGAUGACUGUGGUCUCUCCAGUCCAGGCCAUAGUCCCACAAACUCAAGCAGUGGUGACUCAACCUAAUCUGAGAGAUAUACCAGCGAAGUUCACGUGUUCUUACUGCCUCGUGGACAUCAUCACGGUGACGCGGUACAUGGCUGACCCCACGGUGAACUGCGGCCUGUUCGGGAGCAGCUGUACAUUUAAGUAAGAUCAGUCACACACACACACACACACACACACACACACACACACAUCAUAUAACACUCAUAUCAGCCCACACACAAUCAGGUUCACUAAUAAUCACACUUCCUCUGUUGUGUCUGGGCAGCGUCUGGCCGUGGUGUCUGGUCCCGUGCAGGUCCUGUACAGAUGUGGAGCACAAAUGUCCAAACUGCCACAACGUCAUCUACGUCUUCAAGCGGCAGUCGUGACGCAAUGCAUCAUGGGAACUUCAGGAGACUUUCACUACUGUGAAAAUGUUGAAAUUAAGAUUUUGGGUGCUGUAUCAAAUCUCAGAGCACAGUAAUAAAUACUGUAGAUACUGUAAUUUCCGGGCUAAA
RNAcentral lists this long non-coding RNA (1270 nucleotides) under Astyanax mexicanus (Mexican tetra). Its description in RNAcentral is "lncRNA (ENSAMXG00005008626.1)". The record is from RNAcentral. Lineage: Eukaryota; Metazoa; Chordata; Actinopteri; Characiformes; Acestrorhamphidae.